RNAcentral lists this ribosomal RNA (330 nucleotides) under uncultured eukaryote. Its description in RNAcentral is "partial 18S ribosomal RNA". It matches the Rfam family "Eukaryotic small subunit ribosomal RNA", at positions 1470 to 1796 of the family's 1831-position model. The record is from RNAcentral.
CCCUUAGAUGUCCGGGGCUGCACGCGCGCUACACUGAAUGAAUCAGCGUGCUAGAAAACCUUGUUUGACAUGGCUAGGUAACCCAUUGAAAAUCAUUCGUGAUUGGGAUCGGGACUUGCAAAUGUGUCCCUUGAACGAGGAAUUCCCAGUAAGUGCGGGUCAUCAGCUCGCGUUGAUUACGUCCCUGCCCUUUGUACACACCGCCCGUCGCUGCCCGGAACUGAGCCGUUUCGAGAAGACUGAGGAUUGCCGACUUGAGGCCUUCACGGGCUUCUAGUCGGUGAAAAGCAAUUUAAUCGCAGCGGCUUGAACCGGGCAAAAGUCGUAACA